Molecule: ribosomal RNA, 602 nt
Filed under: Trichoderma sp. JCM 28098
Lineage: Eukaryota; Fungi; Ascomycota; Sordariomycetes; Hypocreales; Hypocreaceae
Description: eukaryotic LSU rRNA
Rfam family: 5.8S ribosomal RNA (bases 235-388)
Source: RNAcentral
UCUCCGUUGGUGAACCAGCGGAGGGAUCAUUACCGAGUUUACAACUCCCAAACCCAAUGUGAACGUUACCAAACUGUUGCCUCGGCGGGAUCUCUGCCCCGGGUGCGUCGCAGCCCCGGACCAAGGCGCCCGCCGGAGGACCAACCUAAAACUCUUUUUGUAUACCCCCUCGCGGGUUUUUUUAUAAUCUGAGCCUUCUCGGCGCCUCUCGUAGGCGUUUCGAAAAUGAAUCAAAACUUUCAACAACGGAUCUCUUGGUUCUGGCAUCGAUGAAGAACGCAGCGAAAUGCGAUAAGUAAUGUGAAUUGCAGAAUUCAGUGAAUCAUCGAAUCUUUGAACGCACAUUGCGCCCGCCAGUAUUCUGGCGGGCAUGCCUGUCCGAGCGUCAUUUCAACCCUCGAACCCCUCCGGGGGGUCGGCGUUGGGGAUCGGCCCUCCCUCUGCGGGUGGCCGUCUCCGAAAUACAGUGGCGGUCUCGCCGCAGCCUCUCCUGCGCAGUAGUUUGCACACUCGCAUCGGGAGCGCGGCGCGUCCACAGCCGUUAAACACCCAACUUCUGAAAUGUUGACCUCGGAUCAGGUAGGAAUACCCGCUGAACUUAA